RNAcentral lists this ribosomal RNA (551 nucleotides) under Pseudomonas sp. c151. Its description in RNAcentral is "bacterial SSU rRNA". It matches the Rfam family "Bacterial small subunit ribosomal RNA", at positions 874 to 1425 of the family's 1533-position model. Lineage: Bacteria; Pseudomonadati; Pseudomonadota; Gammaproteobacteria; Pseudomonadales; Pseudomonadaceae. The record is from RNAcentral.
UGGGGAGUACGGCCGCAAGGUUAAAACUCAAAUGAAUUGACGGGGGCCCGCACAAGCGGUGGAGCAUGUGGUUUAAUUUGAAGCAACGCGAAGAACCUUUCCAGGCCUUGACAUCCAAUGAACUUUCCAGAGAUGGAUUGGUGCCUUUGGGAACAUUGAGACAGGUGCUGCAUGGCUGUUGUCAGCUUGUGUCGUGAGAUGUUGGGUUAAGUCCCGUAACGAGCGCAACCCUUUUCCUUAGUUACCAGCACGUUAUGGUGGGCACUCUAAGGAGACUGCCGGUGACAAACCGGAGGAAGGUGGGGAUGACGUCAAGUCAUCAUGGCCCUUACGGCCUGGGCUACACACGUGCUACAAUGGUCGGUACAGAGGGUUGCCAAGCCGCGAGGUGGAGCUAAUCCCACAAAACCGAUCGUAGUCCGGAUCGCAGUCUGCAACUCGACUGCGUGAAGUCGGAAUCGCUAGUAAUCGCGAAUCAGAAUGUCGCGGUGAAUACGUUCCCGGGCCUUGUACACACCGCCCGUCACACCAUGGGAGUGGGUGCACCAGAA